This 432-nucleotide ribosomal RNA is filed under the name uncultured bacterium. Its description in RNAcentral is "partial 16S ribosomal RNA". It matches the Rfam family "Bacterial small subunit ribosomal RNA", at positions 29 to 507 of the family's 1533-position model. The record is from RNAcentral.
ACGAACGCUGGCGGCAUGCCUAACCCAUGCCGGUCGAACGAGACCUUCGGGUCUAGUGGCGCACGGGUGCGUAACGCGUGGGAACCUGCCCUUAGGUUCGGAAUAACUCCCCGAAAGGGGUGCUAAUACCGGAUAAUGUCUUCGGACCAAAGAUUUAUCGCCUUUGGAUGGGCCCGCGUUGGAUUAGCUAGUUGGUAGGGUAAAAGCCUACCAAGGCGACGAUCCAUAGCUGGUCUGAGAGGAUGAUCAGCCACACUGGGACUGAGACACGGCCCAGACUCCUACGGGAGGCAGCAGUGGGGAAUAUUGGACAAUGGGCGAAAGCCUGAUCCAGCAAUGCCGCGUGAGUGAUGAAGGCCUUAGGGUUGUAAAGCUCUUUUACCCGGGAUGAUAAUGACAGUACCGGGAGAAUAAGCUCCGGCUAACUCCGUG